GACGAACGCUGGCGGCGUGCCUAAUACAUGCAAGUCGAGCGAAGUUUUUCUGGUGCUUGCACUAGAAAAACUUAGCGGCGAACGGGUGAGUAACACGUAAAGAACCUGCCUCAUAGACUGGGACAACUAUUGGAAACGAUAGCUAAUACCGGAUAACAGUAUUUCUCGCAUGAGAGAUAUUUAAAAGUUGGUUAUGCUAACACUAUGAGAUGGCUUUGCGGUGCAUUAGCUAGUUGGUGGGGUAAAGGCCCACCAAGGCGACGAUGCAUAGCCGACCUGAGAGGGUGAUCGGCCACACUGGGACUGAGACACGGCCCAGACUCCUACGGGAGGCAGCAGUAGGGAAUCUUCCGCAAUGGGCGAAAGCCUGACGGAGCAACGCCGCGUGAGUGAAGAAGGAUUUCGGUUCGUAAAGCUCUGUUGUUAGGGAAGAAAUGGAUAUGUAGUAACUAUACAUAUAAAGAG
RNAcentral lists this ribosomal RNA (465 nucleotides) under Gemella morbillorum. RNAcentral describes it as "bacterial SSU rRNA". It matches the Rfam family "Bacterial small subunit ribosomal RNA", at positions 28 to 488 of the family's 1533-position model. The record is from RNAcentral. Lineage: Bacteria; Bacillati; Bacillota; Bacilli; Caryophanales; Gemellaceae.